RNA transcript from Megalobrama amblycephala (Wuchang bream), 4739 nucleotides. It is a transcript of the gene named zinc fingers and homeoboxes 3a, with no coding region annotated. The record is from RefSeq and is a predicted model, not a curated record. The transcript is spliced from 4 exons. Lineage: Eukaryota; Metazoa; Chordata; Actinopteri; Cypriniformes; Xenocyprididae.
GUCUGCUCAGCCCGUCCUAGAACAGAGAGGGGUAGGAUCAGGAUUUUGGGUUUGGGUGACGCGCUUUAAUCACGUGCCCUUAUUUGAGAGCGCCUGGCGUACAUUUCUUUCCCUUCUCGCCACUCCAGCAGCGCCCAUGUCAGCCGGGCACAUAAUCAGUGUGCCAUAAAGCAGUAGAUGCUCCUUAUCGCGGUGACCCGACGGGUUCACGCUAGUUCACAGGGUUCAUCUGAGGAGAGGUCUCGGCCCCUCCUGUUCCCCUGAGACCCGGAGCGGAGAGAAACCUAAAUGUUAUUCAUUUCUGUAUCAAUAACGGAUUUCCAUUCGCAUUCAGCAGAGCCGACGAAAAGGUUCACAGGGAGUUGUUACUUUGCUCCCUUUUACAAUGGGAAGUCCUGAUAGCUGAAGAUUUUACCAAUUGCUGGUUCAUCACGGCUGGCUGAUGACACCUCAACUUCAUACAAUUCCAGUAUUUGUUUCUGACUCUUUACUCAUCUGCACAAUCCUACACUAUGGCCAGCAAGAGGAAAUCCACCGUUCCCUGUAUGAUUCCAUCAAAAAACAAGCACUUGCGGGAGGACAUCAUACUAGGAUGCUUACCUGAGCUCCUACCCACAAUACCUGAAGACAGCAUCCUCAGUAUCUCUUCAAAAGAUGAGAAUACACAACGAUUCCAUGAUCUCUUGAAAGCCGAACCGAAGACUUCAUGCUGGGAAAGGGGAACAUAUAGCUGCCCUCUGUGCUGCUUUGAGUCCGGAGACUUGAACCUUUUUCUUCACCAUAUGGACAACUGUCACAUGGAGUUUCAUGCUCAACCAAACUUUUACUGCCUGUCUUGCAAGGUUUCAGCGGUGAAGUUUGAAGGUCUCGCUUUACAUAACGCAAAAUCACAUCCUGAACUCCAUACCACACACAAGAGAGUAUCCUUGCAGGUUACCAAACGAGAUGGAGCUAUCACAGUGGAGCAAACCCUGUUUACAGAAGAGGAUUCCAGUGAAUCUGGAAUAUCCAUUACCAAGACACCCAUAAUGAAAAUGACCAAAGGGGGGCACAAAAAAAUUGUCGUCUCCCAUACUGUUGAGGUACACCGGGCCGAGCCUAGCAGUGAAAAGCCCGCAACUGUAACCAAUGGCACUUCAUUAAGGACCUUACCCAUAACAACAUCACAUAUCAUCGGUGGCACUACUGCCCCUCCGGCCCAUAAAGUCCUAAACACGCAUGGAAUACCAGGGAUGCAUAACCGUGGUCCUCUGUGGAACUCUAAUCCGUCAUCACCUGAUUCAAACGUUGAUCUCCCAAAGGUCAUGAUCCCCCUAAGUAGCAUCCCCACCUAUGAUCCAGCCAUGGAUUUAAGCAGUUUUCUUAAGACGUCCUUUGGUAAGUUUCCUUACCCUACCAAAGCAGAGCUCUGUUACUUGACGGUGGUCUCUGGCUUCCCAGAGGAGCAGAUCAAGCUCUGGUUCACGGCCCAAAGGCUAAAGCAAGGGAUUAGUUGGUCUCCUGAGGAAAUCGAGGACACGCGUAGAAAGAUGUUCAACACUGUAUUCCAAGCCACGCCGAAAACGUCACAGAAUCAGUCCUAUCACCACAUUUCCCAACACUGUGUUUCUGUCCAGUCUGGCUCUUUGAGUUCUAACUAUAUACAUCAGAUACCAAAAGGAAAUGUAAUGGGUUGGAAAGGAGGGGUCAUAGUUAGUCAGCCUAGUGUGACCCAGACCACAUCCCUUAAGCAGCAGCAGCAUCCAGUGGUCCAGGUGCCACAGGUAAACAUCCAUCAUGCUGUCAUCACUAAGGAAACUGGAAAUGAAUUAUCUUGUCGGACAGCUGAGAAUUGCAACAUUGCAGGCCGAGGAGGUAGCGUGAGCAAUCAUGGACACACUGGAAAAGGUGAGACUGGCAUCAGCUCAUCCAUCAAGACUAGUAUUAGCUGCUUGCCUGGCACUCCCAAGAGUCAAAACAGCAGUUACAGUGAGGGCAGCAUUAUGAAUCUGACGAACAUAGUCAGGAAAAUUGACUGUCAAGUCAAUGACAGGAACACAAAUUGCACCAGCAAAUCUAACAUCAGUCCAACUUCCAUUUAUGGCCAACAGAAAGCAUCCAGUAUCGCGAAAGAAAGCAGUAACAGCAGCUUCGCCACCACCAGCAAAUAUAACAAUGGAAGCACUUAUAAAAGCACCAGCCACAAUACUAUUUGCACUAAAAGGGAGGGAAACAUCUUAGAUCACACCAGCAAAAGCAACUCUGACACUACUGUCAUUUGUAGCAGCAGCAGCAACAUGCGAACUAAAGAAUUCACAGCACCCCUUACCCAUAGCCUGGUCCCAAAGCCUGGAAGUCUCAUGGAUCCAUCCCUUGGAAAGGGCAAGAUAUUACCUGAGCAACCAGGCACUCUGAAGCAAAGCUUUAUACAUAACUCAUUCCCAGAACAAAAGCAGUUUCUUGCUCCCCAAGGUCAACCAUACCAUGUACGUACUUUGACAGACUCCCAGUCUGCUUUGGGGGGAUCGUUUAGUAACUUGCCCCAGAGCUCCCUCCAGUCUAAUCCUGCAGCAAGUUCGCGUCUUCUGGAGGAACCGAGUCAGCACUCCUCUCCAUCCCUUUCUGCUCAUCAGGAGCAACAUUCUCCAGAAACCCUGCUGGGAGCACCUCAGGUCCAGUCCACAGACUUUACUGCCGUCCACUACAAGGAACAUGACCCCAAGCACUUACCUGCCUUAGACAAAGACUCCAAGCAAUCACAUUUUGAUAAAGAAAGGUUGCACAGAAACAUAACACAAAAAGAAAACGAAGGAAGGGUUUCUGAACAGCAUAGCGGAAUAACAAAUGCAUUUUACAAGUCGGACAAGAACGAGCAUAGCAACCUUGUUAACACACUACAUACCUUCACAAACGAUAACACUAACCAGGCUAAAGAAGGCAUGCCGCUUUUACGACAGUACAUACAAGAAGUGGACCAAUGGGAAAAGAACAGCGACUAUCCUGAAGAGUCAACCGUGAGCCCUAUGAAGAUAAAUGUAAUUGCGUUGAACAGUGAAGAGAGUUUGUACAAGACCAACAGCAAGCAGCUAAUCAGCAAGCCGUUGGAGAACUUGAUCAAUGACAGUGGUCCCAGCCAUAAAAACAAAUCUUCAGAAUGGCAUGAAAGCUAUCGGCACAUACCGGUGGAGGCUGAAGAGCGUAUAUCUGACAUAGGUAACACUGAACCACAUCAACCAGAUAACCUUGUGGGGCUUGAAACUGAGCAAGUUAAACGUGAUCUACGGCCAGAACAGAAAAGUAUUUUUCAGAGUCUAGAUUCUGAAGCUCCAAAGUUGCCGAUAAAGAAAAAAUCAAAGGAGGCUCUGGCAGAAUUGGACAAAUCAACUGCAGGAGAACAAGAUUACUGGGAGAUAAAGGAUGAGGAGCAUCAGCAACCAAUGGGGAACCAGAGUUUGAGGGGGCAUCAAGCACAAGACAGUCAAUCAAGAGACCCAUUGUAGUUUUUCUAGCAACUGACUUGUUGAGACUGACUGAGUCUUCAACUGCUGUCUACUACUCUUGGAUUGUCACAUCACAUUACAUUGUUUAAGGGACUGUCUGAGAGGAGAGCUUCUGAAAGUUUAAGGACUUCACUCCACAAGACGAAGAGGCAGAGGAUCCCGUAUUCAUCUGGAACAUUACAUUUCUUGUUUUCUUUAAAUAUGACAGCAGAUGAGAUUGUAACACAUUUGUGAUGGUCAAUGGACUUGAGUUUUUGGAAGACGGCCAAUCCAGAGAGUAGCCGCUACAAAUGUAGGUCUGAUUUGAUUUAGGUAAAUUCUGUGUAGGAAACUAUGAUGUAUAUGCUUGAAACUGCACUAUCGAGGGUGUACUGGACGUUAGGAAUGUCAGUUAGAUAUUGUGAUACUUCGUAAUAUGUCAGAUGAUCAGCACUUCUGCAAUGCCUUGGGUUUUAUGAUAUUUGUUGGGAUUUUCCAACCAGUUUUCCUUCUUCAUUGUCCAGAUCAAAUAAGUUCUCCAUGGCUUAUUUUUCCACACAACAUCGAGCAGUUAGUGACAAAUCAUGCACUAUAACUCGCUUUAGUGGUGUCUGUCUGCACACACAACAAAUUGGCCAGACAUUGCCUUAAACGUCACCUUUCUAUUUCUAUGACUGGCUGCACAAACAAGCUUUCAGCAACUGUGUUGAUGUGUGUAUAAAUUGGGGAUUUGAAUCCCAACAGAACUGCUGCUAUAUCUUCGGAGGUGUUUUUAUAAGCAUUAGCAAGACUAUUAUAUAUAUGUGAAAAGCUUAAAAAAAAAAAAAAAACGAAGAAAUUUUAAUUUAUGGUGGAGAAAGUUUAAAACGGUGUGCUUACAAUCCGAGGGGUAUUACAGUUCUCACAGACAGUCAAAUCAAGUGCUCUGCUAACUGGAUAUUCCCUGUGUUUGAGUUGGGCUACAAUAUAAAUAUAUAUAUAUAUAUAUAUAUAUAGUAUAUAUAUAUACACACACAUUAUGCAUCAUUUAUAUGCUGCUAAGUUCAGACCAUCCAAAGUGAAUAACAGGUGCUUUUCAUCCCUUAUUAUUUGCAUUUAUAUCCAAUGUGGUUUCUCUUUUAAAAGUUAACACGUAAAGAUAAUAUCUGGACUUAACAGUAUUACCUUCCCAUCCGUUCCCAUUGUGCAGGUCUGUCUAAAAGAACACAGUGCACUGGAGUGUUAUCCUUUCUACACAUUACAAAUCUUUUGGUAAUAAAUGGAGAAUGUCAAAUUUAAAAA